RNAcentral lists this long non-coding RNA (332 nucleotides) under Aquilegia coerulea. Its description in RNAcentral is "long non-coding RNA (ACOE_LNC000735)". Lineage: Eukaryota; Viridiplantae; Streptophyta; Magnoliopsida; Ranunculales; Ranunculaceae. The record is from RNAcentral.
GAAUGAUUGGCGCUGCGGUGGAUUUCCUCUAGCUUGAAGUGCUGCAGAUUCUGUGGAGAUGGCUGGAGGCAUACUAAUGAAUUGUUGGGCCUCCCCAUGUUUAACAAGAUUGAAAAUUUUCUGAGCUGAUGGAAGGGGUUCAAUGAGCAAUAUCUGACUUCGAAUGCUAGAGAAUCGAUCAUGGAGCCCUUGUAAAAAUUCCAUAGCGCGAUCACGUUCAUGGCGCUCAAUGAGAACCUUGCUAGCACUACAAAUAAAUGCUUCAGAGGAGACAAGAGAGUCAUAUUCAUCCCAUAGAGAUUUGAGACGUGUGAAAUAAUUGGUAACAGUCA